AUGGCACUAAGACAGAUUAAUAAGGAACUUAGUGAUUUGGCCCAUGACCCUCCAGCACAAUGUUCUGCAGGUCCAGUUGAGGAUGGUAUGUUUCAUUGGCAAGCCACAAUUAUGGGACCUAAUGACAGCCCAUAUCAAAGCGGUGUAUUCUUUUUGGCAAUUCAUUUUCCUACAGACUGCUCCUUCAAACCACCUAAGGUUGCAUGUACAACAAGGAUUUGUCAUCCAAAUAUUAACAGUAAUGGCAGCAUUUGUCUCGAUAUUCUAAGAUCACAGUGGUUGCCUGCUUUAAAACUAUUUCUAAAGUUCUUUUAUCCAUUUGUUCACUGCUAUGUGAUCCAAACCCAGAUGACCCCCUAGUGCCAGAGAGCACACGGAUCCAUAAAAUAGACAGACGUAAAAGUACAACAGAAUAUCUCGGGAAUGGACUCAGAAGAAUGCCAUA
RNAcentral lists this long non-coding RNA (445 nucleotides) under Homo sapiens (human). RNAcentral's name for it is "non-protein coding lnc-MLH1-1:1". The record is from RNAcentral. Lineage: Eukaryota; Metazoa; Chordata; Mammalia; Primates; Hominidae.